RNAcentral lists this unclassified non-coding RNA (271 nucleotides) under Hypodontus macropi. RNAcentral's name for it is "sequence contains ITS2". The record is from RNAcentral. Lineage: Eukaryota; Metazoa; Nematoda; Chromadorea; Rhabditida; Strongylidae.
UUCAUAUAUACUACAGUAUGGCCUGUAAAAUACUUUUGGUCGAACGAUGCUUGCCUACACAUGUGUGGUGCGAUCCUCGUUCCAGAGAUUAACGAGAAUGAGAUAUUGCAACAUGUGCUUUGGGACCGCUUGCUAUUUCCCAUUGCACACGAAUGUCAUGACAAACCAAUAUCGUUGUCACUGUGAAAUGUAUUUAGCGAGAAUUAUAAAUGCUUUUUCACAGAGCUAGUCCCGACAACGGUACACAUACGUGCGUCUAUGUCAUUUGCAA